CCUACGGGAUGCAGCAGUGGGGAAUAUUGCACGAUGGGCGCAAGCCUGAUGCAGCCAUGCCGCGUGUAUGAAGAAGGCCUUCGGGUUGUAAAGUACUUUCAGCGAGGAGGAAGGCAUUAAGGUUAAUAACCUUGGUGAUUGACGUUACUCGCAGAAGAAGCACCGGCUAACUCCGUGCCAGCAGCCGCGGUAAUACGGAGGGUGCAAGCGUUAAUCGGAAUUACUGGGCGUAAAGCGCACGCAGGCGGUCUGUCAAGUCGGAUGUGAAAUCCCCGGGCUCAACCUGGGAACUGCAUUCGAAACUGGCAGGCUAGAGUCUUGUAGAGGGGGGUAGAAUUCCAGGUGUAGCGGUGAAAUGCGUAGAGAUCUGGAGGAACACCAGUGGCGAAGGCGGCUUACUGGUCUGCAACUGACGCUGAGGCGCGAAAGCGUGGGGAGCAAACAGGAUUAGAUACCCGCGUAGUC
This 465-nucleotide ribosomal RNA is filed under the name uncultured bacterium. RNAcentral's name for it is "bacterial SSU rRNA". It matches the Rfam family "Bacterial small subunit ribosomal RNA", at positions 338 to 795 of the family's 1533-position model. The record is from RNAcentral.